AUUGAACGCUGGCGGAAUGCUUUACACAUGCAAGUCGAACGGCAGCACGGGGGCAACCCUGGUGGCGAGUGGCGAACGGGUGAGUAAUACAUCGGAACGUGCCCAGUCGUGGGGGAUAACGUAGCGAAAGCUACGCUAAUACCGCAUACGAUCUACGGAUGAAAGCGGGGGAUCGCAAGACCUCGCGCGAUUGGAGCGGCCGAUGGCAGAUUAGGUAGUUGGUGGGGUAAAGGCUCACCAAGCCGACGAUCUGUAGCUGGUCUGAGAGGACGACCAGCCACACUGGGACUGAGACACGGCCCAGACUCCUACGGGAGGCAGCAGUGGGGAAUUUUGGACAAUGGGCGCAAGCCUGAUCCAGCCAUUCCGCGUGCAGGAUGAAGGCCUUCGGGUU
This 394-nucleotide ribosomal RNA is filed under the name uncultured bacterium. RNAcentral's name for it is "bacterial SSU rRNA". It matches the Rfam family "Bacterial small subunit ribosomal RNA", at positions 29 to 424 of the family's 1533-position model. The record is from RNAcentral.